CACAGGGGUGAUGUGCUCUCUUUUCUUGGUCAUAGUUAAAAGUCUAGCAGUGAUAGUGAUAAAGGCAUGGAUUAGUUUUUGUACCGUAUUUUCCGGACUAUAAGUCGCUCCAGAGUAUAAGUUGCACUAGACUAUAAGUCACAUUGAUUUCAAAAUUUAUUUCACAAAAUCCAAGACCAAGAACAGACAGAGACUAUGUAACUGGACACAUAGAGGACAAAAACAUGGAGAAUUCUACCUGGAAUGUUAAUGAAGACGAAGGAGUGAAGGGCGACGAAGCUGAGGAGAGCCGGGCGAUAACAAAGGCGGCCAAGUAGGAGGGCCCGACGGUAAUUUUAAAGCAAUUUACAAAAGAUUCACUGAACGUAAAUGCUGAUGUGGUACAUGAAAAUGUAGCAAAAAAUGUGGAGAAUGCAAUGCAAUCAAGCACUUUGGGCGAUGUGAAGGCACAGGCCGGCAGCAGAGCAAAUGCUCGGGAGGCUACCUCCGAGAG
Molecule: long non-coding RNA, 493 nt
Organism: Alosa sapidissima (American shad)
Lineage: Eukaryota; Metazoa; Chordata; Actinopteri; Clupeiformes; Clupeidae
Exons: 2
Source: RefSeq, a predicted model, not a curated record